RNAcentral lists this ribosomal RNA (446 nucleotides) under uncultured bacterium. RNAcentral's name for it is "partial 16S ribosomal RNA". It matches the Rfam family "Bacterial small subunit ribosomal RNA", at positions 338 to 795 of the family's 1533-position model. The record is from RNAcentral.
CCUACGGGUGGCAGCAGUCGAGAAUCAUUCACAAUGGGGGAAACCCUGAUGGUGCGACGCCGCGUGGGGGAAUGAAGGUCUUCGGAUUGUAAACCCCUGUCAUGUGGGAGCAAAUUAAAAAGAUAGUACCACAAGAGGAAGAGACGGCUAACUCUGUGCCAGCAGCCGCGGUAAUACAGAGGUCUCAAGCGUUGUGCGGAAUCACUGGGCGUAAAGCGUGCGUAGGCUGUUUCGUAAGUCGUGUGUGAAAGGCGCGGGCUCAACCCGCGGACGGCACAUGAUACUGCGAGACUAGAGUAAGGGAGGGGGAACCGGAAUUCUCGGUGUAGCAGUGAAAUGCGUAGAUAUCGAGAGGAACACUCGUGGCGAAGGCGGGUUCCUGGACAUUAACUGACGCUGAGGCACGAAGGCCAGGGGAGCGAAAGGGAUUAGAUACCCGAGUAGUC